CUUGGUCAUUUAGAGGAAGUAAAAGUCGUAACAAGGUCUCCGUUGGUGAACCAGCGGAGGGAUCAUUACCGAGUUUACAACUCCCAAACCCCUGUGAACAUACCUUAUGUUGCCUCGGCGGAUCAGCCCGCGCCCCGAAAAACGGGACGGCCCUUUUUAUGAACCCUAAACUCUGUUUUUAGUGGAACUUCUGAGUAUUUUUUUUUUAUAAAUCAAAACUUUCAACAACGGAUCUCUUGGUUCUGGCAUCGAUGAAGAACGCAGCAAAAUGCGAUAAGUAAUGUGAAUUGCAGAAUUCAGUGAAUCAUCGAAUCUUUGAACGCACAUUGCGCCCGCCAGUAUUCUGGCGGGCAUGCCUGUUCGAGCGUCAUUUCAACCCUCAAGCCCAGCUUGGUGUUGGGAGCUGCAGUCCUGCUGCACUCCCCAAAUACAUUGGCGGUCACGUCGAGCUUCCAUAGCGUAGUAAUUUACAUAUCGUUACUGGUAAUCGUCGCGGCCACGCCGUUAAACCCCAACUUCUGAAUGUUGACCUCGGAUCAGGUAGGAAUACCCGCUGAACUUAAGCAUAUCAAUAAGCGGAGGAA
Molecule: small RNA, 584 nt
Filed under: uncultured fungus
Lineage: Eukaryota; Fungi
Description: eukaryotic LSU rRNA
Rfam family: 5.8S ribosomal RNA (bases 217-370)
Source: RNAcentral